Long non-coding RNA from Zingiber officinale, 859 nucleotides. RefSeq lists it as uncharacterized. Lineage: Eukaryota; Viridiplantae; Streptophyta; Magnoliopsida; Zingiberales; Zingiberaceae. The record is from RefSeq and is a predicted model, not a curated record. The transcript has 3 exons.
UCUGUCGUUAAUUCCUCUCACCCGACCAUUUCCCCCAAUUUCCCCUCUCUUCACGCCAUCGCCGAUGCCCACCACCUCAUCGUACUCCACCGCAGGGUGUCGACGCUGAAGACCACGAAGGGUUGGACACCUCUGGUGUAACCUCCAUGGCUACCAGCACCGGACGCGGCCAUGAUGGGAACGGAGGCCAACCUCUCUCCCGAUCUCCUCGCGACAAGCAACACCAACGUUGUGCCCUAGCUCUUGAUCCACUGCCGUCCGAGCUCUCUCUCUUCCUCAUCCAUGAUCAUCGUCGCCUCCUCACACUAGAGCAGCGUCAUCCACUCAUGAUGUCGAGCCUAGCCUGAUAGCAUCGCUGUCCUCCAUUGCUCUGAGUCGGCGCCAUCCAUUUAACCUAGCAUCGUCAUUGUUUAGAGCUAUCGGUGCCGGUGCAACCAUCAUCCAGCCAUGCCUCCCCAUGUGCUAUUGCCCUUCUCUUCUCCUGAACUAGCCAAUGCUAUGAGCCACUGCUGGGCAGUGUAGAUCCACUGAGAAGAUGCCAAAGGGUUGAGGAUAUCAACAGAUUUAAGCCUUGCUAAGACAUAGGCAUCCAAUCACCAGUCGGGCACCAAGGAGUGGUCUCUACUGUUCUGGUAGGACCAAGAGUUCAAUUAAGGUGACAGGUACUUGGAUUUUUAUGAAUCAAUAUAAUGGUUGAAGAUGAUUCAUCUAAUCGAGUUUUUAUUUUACAAGACUUUGUUAGUAUUAAAAUUUAAUAUUUUGAGUAUAUUUGUAGGUUGUUUUGGAUGUAAAAGAUUUAUCAUUAGUAUUACAUUUGUAAAUUUGACUCAAAUGAUUAUUGGAUGAAUAAAAAUAUCUA